Molecule: ribosomal RNA, 496 nt
Filed under: uncultured bacterium
Lineage: Bacteria
Description: partial 16S ribosomal RNA
Rfam family: Bacterial small subunit ribosomal RNA
Source: RNAcentral
GAUGAACGCUGGCGGCGUGCCUAAUACAUGCAAGUCGAGCGAACAGACGAGGAGCUUGCUCCUCUGACGUUAGCGGCGGACGGGUGAGUAACACGUGGAUAACCUACCUAUAAGACUGGGAUAACUUCGGGAAACCGGAGCUAAUACCGGCUAAUAUAUUGAACCGCAUGGGUCAAUAGUGAAAGACGGUUUUGCUGUCACUUAUAGAUGGAUCCGCGCCGCAUUAGCGAGUUGGUAAGGUAACGGCUUACCAAGGCAACGAUGAGUAGCCGCUCUGAGAGGGUGCCCCCCCCCCCGGGGGCUGAGCCCCGGCCCAGCCCCCGCGGGGGGGCAGCAGGGGGGACUUUUCGCCAAGGGGCGAACGCCUGCGGCAGCACCGCCGCGGGUGUGAAGAAGGCCUUCGGUUUGUAAAGCUUUUUUGUCGGGAAAGAAAAAUUUGGCAAUAAUUCAGGCGGGUGUUGACGGUACCGAAAGAAUAAGCACCGGCUACCUACGU